RNAcentral lists this ribosomal RNA (253 nucleotides) under uncultured bacterium. RNAcentral describes it as "partial 16S ribosomal RNA". It matches the Rfam family "Bacterial small subunit ribosomal RNA", at positions 524 to 776 of the family's 1533-position model. The record is from RNAcentral.
GACGUAGGAUGCGAGCGUUAUUCGGAUUUAUUGGGCGUAAAGCGUGCGUAGGCGGCUAUUUAAGUCUGGUGUUAAAGCUAGGGGCUCAACCCCUGUGAUGCACUGGAUACUGGGUAGCUUGAGUGCGGUAGGGGAAGGUGGAAUUCCGAGUGUAGCGGUGAAAUGCGUAGAUAUUCGGAAGAACACCGGUGGCGAAGGCGACCUUCUGGGACGGUACUGACGCUGAGACGCGAAAGCGUGGGGAGCGAACAGG